Non-coding RNA from Castor canadensis (American beaver), 217 nucleotides. The record is from RefSeq and is a predicted model, not a curated record. Lineage: Eukaryota; Metazoa; Chordata; Mammalia; Rodentia; Castoridae.
AAUAAAGUUUUCUUUAAAUAUGGAUGGAGUAUCUUCAGAGACUAAUGAAGAAAAAGACAAUACAGAGAGACCUGUUAGGAGACGGCAUUCCUCAAUUUUGAAACCCCCAAGGAGUCCUCUUCAGGACCUCAGAGGUGGAAAUGAACUAGUUCAGGAAUCCAAUGCUUUGAGAAAUAGGAAAAGCUCUCGUCGAGUCAGCUUUGCAGAUACAAUAAAG